This 844-nucleotide ribosomal RNA is filed under the name uncultured archaeon. Its description in RNAcentral is "bacterial SSU rRNA". It matches the Rfam family "Archaeal small subunit ribosomal RNA", at positions 40 to 861 of the family's 1478-position model. The record is from RNAcentral.
UGGGGUUAGAAUGUUAGUCGUGCGCUUCCUAGCCUGAUGGAGGCGCGGCGCACAGCUCAGUAGCACGUGGCUAACCUACCCUUGGGACGGGGGUACCCCCGGGAAACUGGGGCUAAUCCUCGAUAGGUGAAGACUCCUGGAAUGGAUUUUCGCCUAAAGGGCGCUUGGAUCAUGCUUCUAAGCGUUGCCCAAGGAUGGGGCCGCGGCCGAUCAGGUUGUUGGUGAGGUAACGGCUCACCAAGCCUUUAACCGGUGCGGGCCGUGGGAGCGGGAGCCCGGAGAUGGGCACUGAGACAAGGGCCCAGGCCCUACGGGGCGCAGCAGUCGCGAAAACUUCGCAAUAAGCGAAAGCUUGACGGGGCUAUCCCGAGUGCCAUCCGCUGAGGAUGGCUUUUACCCAGUAUAGAUAGCUGGGGGAAUAAGGAGAGGGCAAGUCUGGUGUCAGCCGCCGCGGUAAUACCAGCUCUCCGAGUGGUGUGGAUGAUUAUUGGGCCUAAAGCAUCCGUAGCCGGCUGGGCAAGUCCCCUGUUAAAUCCAGCGACGAAUCGUUGGCCUGCGGGGGAUACUGCUCGGCUAGGGGGCGAGAGAGGCCGUCGGUAUUCCCGGGGUAGGGGUGAAAUCCUAUAAUCCCGGGAGGACCACCAGUGGCGAAGGCUGUCGGCUAGAACGGGCCCGACGGUGAGGGAUGAAAGCUGGGGGAGCGAACCGGAUUAGAUACCCGGGUAGUCCCAGCUGUAAACGAUGCAGGCUAGGUGUUAGGGCGGCCACGUGCCGCUCUAGUGCCGCAGGGAAAGCUGUUAAGCCUGCCGCCUGGGGAGUACGGCCGCAAGGCUGAAACUUAAAG